Dermacentor silvarum is the source of this 805-nucleotide long non-coding RNA. RefSeq lists it as uncharacterized. The transcript is spliced from 3 exons. NCBI's taxonomy places the organism in Eukaryota, Metazoa, Arthropoda, Arachnida, Ixodida, Ixodidae. The record is from RefSeq and is a predicted model, not a curated record.
UGCGCGCCUGAUGCGAACUGCUAGAAAUUACGGUGGUGUCCUGUCGGCCAGUUUGGCGGGAACCGUUACAACGAAGCGGAGUGGUGGAGUUGCCAGGAGGUGCAAACAAAGAAAGCAUUAAUGCGAUCUGUGAGUGCAACGAGGAAAACGCGACUGCUUCAAAUGAAAAAGUAUCUGAGAAGCCUGCAGAAAGUGACCACGCUUCCAGCAACCCAAUCCCUUGUCCUGACGCACUACUUAACUGAAGGACAUGGUCACAGAUCCCUUUUGCAUGUACCUUGGGCGAAUGAAAAUGCUUUUGGCCGCAACUGCAGAGGCCCGCAGCUCCAAUGCACCAGAUGAUUUGCCGUCAUACUUUUUAAAUCCUGACGUGGUAAGAUCACUCAUGUUUUUCAAAUCGUGUGGGUCUGCUCUGUAAGGUUAAGAGUAGGUUAUUUUGUAAGCUGUGAUUUAUGUUUAGUCAGCUGUGCUCUGUAGCAUUUGAGAAAUGAUAAAAAGUGACUGGUCAUUUACACAGACCAGCUUGCACUUUAUAACCUUUAACACUGGUGAAAAGGCAUUGCUAUAACAAUGAAUGUUCAAAGAUCUCAUCUAAGUCAAGAUGAAUAUAGAAUCAACUCCGCUGCUUGAGUAGUUGUGUGAAGGUGAUAUUUUCUCUCAUCGUAUCGUUCAGCAGAAUUAAAGUAUUUGAAGCUUUCCUAGGGCCUGUUUUUGUUUCAGUGGGCCAUAAAGUGUCAGGCAAUGUGCAUUUCUUUCAGCUUGCCUUUGAAGCAGAAAUAAGGUUUAGAGACACAGUGGAGGCUUG